Molecule: ribosomal RNA, 458 nt
Filed under: Elsinoe veneta
Lineage: Eukaryota; Fungi; Ascomycota; Dothideomycetes; Myriangiales; Elsinoaceae
Description: LSU rRNA
Rfam family: Eukaryotic large subunit ribosomal RNA
Source: RNAcentral
GGAUUGCCUCAGUAACGGCGAGUGAAGCGGCAAUAGCUCAAAUUUGAAAUCUGGCGUCUUCGGCGUCCGAGUUGUAAUUUGUAGAGGAUGCUAUUGAGUUGUCACCGGUCUAAGUUCCUUGGAACAGGACGUCAUAGAGGGUGAGAAUCCCGUAUGUGACCGGCCAGACGCUCUCUGUAUAGCUCCUUCGACGAGUCGGGUUGUUUGGGAAUGCAGCCCUAAAUGGGAGGUAAAUUUCUUCUAAAGCUAAAUACCGGCCAGAGACCGAUAGCGCACAAGUAGAGUGAUCGAAAGAUGAAAAGCACUUUGGAAAGAGAGUUAAAAAGCACGUGAAAUUGUUGAAAGGGAAGCGCUUGCAAUCAGUCUCGACGGCGGCUGUUCGGCCUCUCUUCUGAGUGGUUUAUUCAGUCGCCGCCGNNCCAGCAUCAGUUCUGGCGGUCGGAUAAAGACGCGGGGAA